Molecule: ribosomal RNA, 562 nt
Filed under: uncultured bacterium
Lineage: Bacteria
Description: partial 16S ribosomal RNA
Rfam family: Bacterial small subunit ribosomal RNA
Source: RNAcentral
UGGGGAAUUUUGGACAAUGGGGGAAACCCUGAUCCAGCCAUCCCGCGUGUGCGAUGAAGGCCUUCGGGUUGUAAAGCACUUUUGGCAGGAAAGAAACGUCGCGGGUUAAUACCCCGCGAAACUGACGGUACCUGCAGAAUAAGCACCGGCUAACUACGUGCCAGCAGCCGCGGUAAUACGUAGGGUGCAAGCGUUAAUCGGAAUUACUGGGCGUAAAGCGUGCGCAGGCGGUCCGGAAAGAAAGAUGUGAAAUCCCAGAGCUUAACUUUGGAACUGCAUUUUUAACUACCGGGCUAGAGUGUGUCAGAGGGAGGUGGAAUUCCGCGUGUAGCAGUGAAAUGCGUAGAUAUGCGGAGGAACACCGAUGGCGAAGGCAGCCUCCUGGGAUAACACUGACGCUCAUGCACGAAAGCGUGGGGAGCAAACAGGAUUAGAUACCCUGGUAGUCCACGCCCUAAACGAUGUCAACUAGCUGUUGGGGCCUUCGGGCCUUGGUAGCGCAGCUAACGCGUGAAGUUGACCGCCUGGGGAGUACGGUCGGCAAGAUUAAAACUCAAAUGAA